GCAGUGGUAGUUCAGUGGUUAAGACAUGGUAUUACUGAUGGGAAGGUCGUCAGUUCAAAUCCCUGGACUGCUGAG
This is a non-coding RNA of Ameiurus melas (black bullhead), 75 nucleotides long. The record is from the annotation of a GenBank genome assembly. Lineage: Eukaryota; Metazoa; Chordata; Actinopteri; Siluriformes; Ictaluridae.